RNAcentral lists this transfer RNA (75 nucleotides) under Candidatus Magasanikiibacteriota bacterium. Its description in RNAcentral is "Candidatus Magasanikbacteria bacterium tRNA-Gly". It matches the Rfam family "tRNA". From Rfam's summary of the family: Transfer RNA (tRNA) molecules are approximately 80 nucleotides in length. Their secondary structure includes four short double-helical elements and three loops (D, anti-codon, and T loops). The record is from RNAcentral. Lineage: Bacteria; Candidatus Magasanikiibacteriota.
GCGGGCGUCGUAUAAUGGUUAUUAUGCUGCCUUGCCAAGGCAGAAACGGCGGUUCGAUUCCGCUCGCCCGCUCCA